RNAcentral lists this ribosomal RNA (253 nucleotides) under uncultured bacterium. Its description in RNAcentral is "partial 16S ribosomal RNA". It matches the Rfam family "Bacterial small subunit ribosomal RNA", at positions 524 to 776 of the family's 1533-position model. The record is from RNAcentral.
UACGUAGGGAGCAAGCGUUGUCCGGAAUCAUUGGGCGUAAAGCGCGCGUAGGCGGCCCCGUAAGUCCGCUGUGAAAGUCAAAGGCUCAACCUUUGAAAGCCGGUGGAUACUGUGGGGCUAGAGUCCGGAAGAGGCGAGUGGAAUUCCUGGUGUAGCGGUGGAAUGCGCAGAUAUCAGGAGGAACACCAGCGGCGAAGGCGGCGCUCUGGGCCGGUACUGACACUGAGGAGCGAAAGCGUGGGUAGCAAACAGG